RNAcentral lists this ribosomal RNA (499 nucleotides) under uncultured Lachnospiraceae bacterium. RNAcentral's name for it is "partial 16S ribosomal RNA". The record is from RNAcentral. Lineage: Bacteria; Bacillati; Bacillota; Clostridia; Lachnospirales; Lachnospiraceae.
CACGUAGUUAGCCGGGGCUUCUUACUCAGGUACCGUCCUUUUUCUUCCCUGCUGAUAGAGCUUUACGUACCGAAAUACUUCUUCACUCACGCGGCGUCGCCGCAUCAGGGUUCCCCCCAUUGUGCAAUAUUCCCCACUGCUGCCUCCCGUAGGAGUCUGGGCCGUGUCUCAGUCCCAAUGUGGCCGUCCGCCCUCUCAGGCCGGCUACUGAUCGUCGCCUUGGUAGGCCGUUACCCUCCCAACCAGCUAAUCAGACGCGGGCCCAUCUUAUACCACCUCAGUUUUUCACACUGCGUCAUGCGCCGCUGUGCGCUUAUGCGGUAUUAGCAGCUGUUUCCAGCUGUUAUCCCCCUGUAUAAGGCAGGUUGCCCACGCGUUACUCACCCGUCCGCCACUAGAAUAUGACUUCUUCCAUUCUGCAAGCAGCUCUUCCGAUGUCUUAUCCCCGUUCGACUUGCAUGUGUUAAGCACGCCGCCAGCGUUCAGUCCUGACGCCAGG